GACGAACGCUGGCGGCGUGCUUAACACAUGCAAGUCGAACGGAGAUUCAGCAAUGGAUCUUAGUGGCGAACGGGUGAGUAACGCGUAGGCAAUCUGCCUUCUAGAUGGGGACAACAUCCCGAAAGGGGUGCUAAUACCGAAUGUUGUAGUUGGUUCGCAUGUACUAGCUACUAAAGGUGGCCUCUGAAUAUGCUACCGCUAGAAGAUGAGCCUGCGUGUGAUUAGCUAGUUGGAGGGGUAACGGCCCACCAAGGCUUCGAUCAGGAGCCGGGCUGAGAGGAUGAAUGGCCACACUGGGACUGGGACACGGCCCAGACUCCUACGGGAGGCAGCAGUGGGGAAUCUUACGCAAUGGACGAAAGUCUGACGGAGCAACGCCGCGUGAGUGAAGAAGGUUUUCGGAUCGUAAAGCUCUUUCGUUAGGGACGAACGUGCUCUUUGUGAAUAAUGAGGAGUAAUGACGGUACCUAAAUAAGAAGCCACGGCUAACUACGUGCCAGCAGCCGCAGUAA
Molecule: ribosomal RNA, 512 nt
Filed under: uncultured bacterium
Lineage: Bacteria
Description: partial 16S ribosomal RNA
Rfam family: Bacterial small subunit ribosomal RNA
Source: RNAcentral